RNAcentral lists this ribosomal RNA (734 nucleotides) under uncultured bacterium. RNAcentral describes it as "bacterial SSU rRNA". The stretch from base 122 to 734 matches the Rfam family "Bacterial small subunit ribosomal RNA", at positions 875 to 1493 of the family's 1533-position model. The record is from RNAcentral.
CAGCGACGUGUAUAAUACUCCCCCUUGUGUAUCCGCCCACGGAAAACGAGUGAUGCCCUCGUCUGGUGCGGCGACACCACUGGCGGGGCCCAAGGGAAAAAGCGUUAAGCAUCCCACCUGGGGGAGGUACGCCCGGCAACGGUGAAACUCAAGGAAUUGACGGGGCCCGCACAAGCGGAGGAACAUGUGGUUUAAUUCGAUGAUACGCGAGGGAACCCUUACCCGGGCUUGAACUGCAGCAGAACGAUUCAGAGAUGAUGAGGGCCCUUCGGGGCUGCUGUGGAGGUGCUGCAUGGUUGUCGUCAGCUCGUGCCGUGAGGUGUCGGCUUAAGUGCCAUAACGAGCGCAACCCUUUUCAUCAGUUGCCCAUCAGGUGAUGCUGGGCACUCUGGUGAUACUGCCACCGUAAGGUGUGAGGAAGGUGGGGAUGACGUCAAGUCAGCACGGCCCUUACGUCCGGGGAAUACACACGUGUUACAAAGGGGCGUGCAGAAGGCGGGUUGCACGCGAGUGCGAUCAAAUCUUAAAAGUGUCCCUCAGUUCGGAUUGGGGUCUGAAACAAAGACCCCAUGAAGCUGGAUUCGCUAGUAAUCGCGCAUCAGCCAUGGCGCGGUGAAUACGUUCCCGGGCCUUGUACACACCGCCCGUCAAGCCAUGAAAGCCGGGGGCGCCUGAAGUCCGUGACCGCGAGGGUCGGCCUAGGGUGAAACCGGUGAUGGGGCUAAGUCGUAACA